UGCCUUACACAUGCAAGUCGAACGGCAGCACGGGAGCAAUCCUGGUGGCGAGUGGCGAACGGGUGAGUAAUAUAUCGGAACGUGCCCAGUCGUGGGGGAUAACGUAGCGAAAGCUACGCUAAUACCGCAUACGAUCUAUGGAUGAAAGCGGGGGAUCGCAAGACCUCGCGCGAUUGGAGCGGCCGAUAUCAGAUUAGGUAGUUGGUGAGGUAAAGGCUCACCAAGCCGACGAUCUGUAGCUGGUCUGAGAGGACGACCAGCCACACUGGGACUGAGACACGGCCCAGACUCCUACGGGAGGCAGCAGUGGGGAAUUUUGGACAAUGGGCGCAAGCCUGAUCCAGCAAUGCCGCGUGCAGGAUGAAGGCCUUCGGGUUGUAAACUGCUUUUGUACGGAACGAAACGGUGAGCUCUAAUACAGUUUGCUAAUGACGGUACCGUAAGAAUAAGCACCGGCUAACUACGUG
Molecule: ribosomal RNA, 467 nt
Filed under: uncultured bacterium
Lineage: Bacteria
Description: bacterial SSU rRNA
Rfam family: Bacterial small subunit ribosomal RNA
Source: RNAcentral